UCUCACAGACCACUGUGAGCUGCCCAGGCUCCCAGCCUGGGUUUAGGUACAGAGCAGGGACCAGAGUUAAUUAUCUUCAGCUGGAACGUGACAGGAGCUGUCAUUUCUGUGGAUGGAUUUUGCCAACAAGACUAUGCAUCUCACCUACGACUAACCGGGCUCUAUGGAACCUCCAGGCCAGGAACCCAGGGCACCACCUGGUUAACCUGUACAUUGACACAGGCAGGGGACACAGGGCAGAAGACAAGCAGGAAGAAAUAUGAGCUCAACAAGCAUCCGGUUUCCAGUCGUACAUGCCCCAGGACUGGGGACCUCACUGCUGCCUGCCAGUGCCUCUGAUUAUUGGCCCCUGAAGUUCCGAACAAGGGCACCCGAGUCUCAACCAUUCGCCCACCACCUUUUCAAGGACCACCGGGACACUCUACUUCCAAUCUGCCCUUAAGUCAACCACUUCUUAACACGAAAGCAGGUAUUUUCGAACGAAAUCUUUUUGGCUCUCUGGAAAUGGAAAAUCAGCAUCACUUGUCAUAAAUAGAAACUGUGAAAAUAAAUAGCACCCCCUCA
Molecule: long non-coding RNA, 564 nt
Organism: Tupaia belangeri chinensis (Chinese tree shrew)
Lineage: Eukaryota; Metazoa; Chordata; Mammalia; Scandentia; Tupaiidae
Exons: 3
Source: RefSeq, a predicted model, not a curated record